This is a long non-coding RNA of Ahaetulla prasina, 1970 nucleotides long. RefSeq lists it as uncharacterized. The transcript is spliced from 3 exons. The record is from RefSeq and is a predicted model, not a curated record. Lineage: Eukaryota; Metazoa; Chordata; Lepidosauria; Squamata; Colubridae.
GUGAAGCAGGUUGCUCCAGGGCUGUACAACGAAGGGGCUCGUCCCUUUCCUUCUUCCUGCCUUCUGCAUCAUUGUGAGACAGUAUCAAACUCUCCGUCUUCCCACCAGGGCUAGAACCACCCUGGAUACCAGCUUGGCUGGAAGAGGAAGUUGGCAGCUGCAAUAGAAAGAAUGCUGCCAACCUUGUCUACACAUCUGGCAAGACAAGAAGGAAUGAAUCGCAGUAGGGUACAACAUCCUGUCCCUUGGCGGAAUUCAUGGCAAGGAGUCGCAUUUUUGAGGCUGCUUGAUACGAGAAACUCCAUGCAAUUGGAAAACAUCGGAGGAAAACAUCGGAGGAAAAACUGGAUUAUGGUGCAUUUUGUAAAAGGGGAAACCAGAGGAAGAUGCUCUCGGGAGGCAGAGAACACAACAUCUGGUUCUGCAAGACCGAAAAAAAAAAAUGGGACAAUUUGGGGCUGGCAGUUGCCCAGGCUAGAGACUGAGGCCCAGCGCCCUCUAGUGUAUGUUUAGCAAACCAUCUCAUGUGCCUUGUCUUCACUUCUAUGAUGGGAAAAUCGGCCACAUUUUCUGGUUCAUAGUUGUCAUCAUCAUCAGAAGCCAACAAGUUUAAAUACUCUCGAUAUACAUAGAUGCACACACAACAUAGGCAUAGUUCUUAAGUGAAUCAUCUGUCUUCCCUCACUGACAUUGUUUGUCGGAAGCCAGUUGGGAAGGUCAGAAAUGGUGAUCCCACGAUCCCAGGAUGCUGCGACUGUUGUAAAUCCACACUGGUUGCCAAGUUCCCACAUUUUGAUCACAGGAUCAUGAGGCGGCCUUGACAGUUGUAAGUGAGAAGAACAGUUGUAAAUCGCUUUUUUGAGCGCCAUUGUAACUCUGAACGAUCCCUAAACGAAUGGUUGUAAAUUGCUGUACACAAUUUGAAAUUAUUGGAAAUUAUUCCAGUCAAGACUCUUUGUAUCAAGUAAAAAAAUCAUCUUUUUUUGUAUUCAGUUAAAUAAAUAUUGCUAUUAUGCAUUUUUAUAACAUUUUUAAAAUGCGAAGAUUUGAAAAACAAACAAACAAAAAAGAAGAAUUUUGGAAUUCCAGGAAGCAAAAAAAACACUAACAUCUAGAUUAAUAAAUAAAGGGAAAGAACAUCCUUUCUUCAAUUUAAAAUUUGGCAGGAUCAUAAAGCAAGAAAAUAACAUGAAUUGUGCAUUCCUUCCUGUUAAUUUCUACACAAUCCCAUUAAUAUUUAAAUCCAUGAACACUUAGCUUUUUUAAAAUCAGCCUCCUAAAGAAUUUUGCCAUAUUUAAUAACUCACAGAAGAAUCAGCAAAACAAUUAAUACACCAGAACGGCCCAAAGGUGCUUUUUCAAGAGGCAACUGGACUUUCUUGUUUUUCUUUGAGGACAUUUCACUUCUCAUCCAAGAAGCUUCUUCAGCUCUUGACUGGAUAGUGGGGAAUGGAAGGAUUUAUAUUCCUUGCAGAGGGCUGGUCAUUUGCAUCUUUUUAGAGAGUUGGGGCCACAUGGAGGUUUUAUCUGUCCUCAGGGCCACCUGAGUAGUGCAAAUGAAGCAAAAUGUAUUCGAAAGGAAGACAAAAAAAGUCCAGUUACCUCUUGAAAAAGCAGCUUUGAGCAACCAUGACCUGGAUAACUGAGAAUCUCCAUAGAAAAUACACCAGAACCUUUACCCUUUUCAUGAAAUAAUUUCAUCUGAAAAGUUUCUACUGGAAUACUUCUGAUUUUUGGCUACCGUGGAUUAGUAUGGUCCAAUGGUGCAAUCCAGUUUGUUUUACUACCGGUUCUGUGGGUGUGGCUUGGUGGGCAUGGCAGGGGAAGGAUACUGCAAAAUCUCCAUUCCCAUCCCACUCCAGGGGAAGGAUACUACAAAAUGCCCAUUCCCUCCCUACUUCAGGGGAAGGAUAUUGCAAAAUCCCCAUUCCCAGCCCACUCUGGGGCCAGUCAGAGGUGGUAUUUGCUGG